This 632-nucleotide long non-coding RNA is filed under the name Androctonus crassicauda. The record is from RNAcentral. Lineage: Eukaryota; Metazoa; Arthropoda; Arachnida; Scorpiones; Buthidae.
GAUUCAAGCAAGGGUCUUAUUCUGACUUUUUCCCCAUCCGAGUAUUGUUUGUUUUGUUUGUUUGUUUGUUUGUUUCUUUGUUUGAGACAGGUUCUUACUAUUCAGCCCUGACUGGCCUGGAUGGAACUUGUAGACCAGGCUGGCCUCAGACUCAGACAUUGGCCUUCCCCUGCCGCCUCCGCAGUGCUGGAGUUAAGGGUGUACCAGCGUGCCCCAUCAAACCUUGAGUUUUGUUUUGCUGACGUAGACUUUGAGGACCUACAUGGACUUCAGGACACUGCCAGGGAAGGUUAAAAUCAGGAUAUUAUCAGAGCAAUUGGGAGGUCUGGUCUGAGCACAGCUUUCUAGAUGUUUCUUAAGAUUUUGCUGUUUUAGUCUUACUGGUUUUAUAAAGGACAAAAUCUCAGUGUGUUAUCCAACUGGUCCCAAGCGAUCUCCAGCCAGGUAGCUGGGGCUGCAGAGUGCCUGUUGUUGGCCCACCUACAUUUCCUUGUGUUCAUUUUUGGUAUGUGUGUAUGUAUUUCUUUUUUUUUUUAAUUUCAUGUGCAUUGGUGUUUUGCCUACACAUAUGUCUGUGUAAAGUCCGAUACCCUAGAACUGUAACUAUAGGCAGUUGUGAACUGCCGUGUGUG